This 253-nucleotide ribosomal RNA is filed under the name uncultured bacterium. RNAcentral describes it as "partial 16S ribosomal RNA". It matches the Rfam family "Bacterial small subunit ribosomal RNA", at positions 524 to 776 of the family's 1533-position model. The record is from RNAcentral.
UACAGAGGUCUCAAGCGUUGUUCGGAUUCAUUGGGCGUAAAGGGUGCGUAGGCGGCGCGGUAAGUCGGGUGUGAAAUCUCGGAGCUUAACUCCGAAACUGCAUUCGAUACUGCCGUGCUCGGGGACUGGAGAGGAGACUGGAAUUUACGGUGUAGCGGUGAAAUGCGUAGAUAUCGUAAGGAAGACCAGUGGCGAAGGCGGGUCUCUGGGCUGACACUGACGCUCAUGCACGAAAGCGUGGGGAGCAAACAGG